Molecule: ribosomal RNA, 326 nt
Filed under: uncultured Porphyromonadaceae bacterium
Lineage: Bacteria; Pseudomonadati; Bacteroidota; Bacteroidia; Bacteroidales; Porphyromonadaceae
Description: partial 16S ribosomal RNA
Source: RNAcentral
GGAGUCUGGUCCGUGUCUCAGUACCAGUGUGGGGGACCUUCCUCUCAGAACCCCUAAGGAUCGAUGGCUCGGUGGGCCGUCACCCCGCCGACUACCUAAUCCUACGCAUGCCCAUCCGCGGCCGGAACCAACCUUUAACAAAUAUCCCCAUGCGGGGCCCCUGUAUCAUGGGGUAUUAAUCCGACUUUCGCCGGGCUAUUCCCCUCGCCGCGGGAAGGUUGCAUACGCGUUACUCACCCGUCGCGCCGGUCGCCAUCGGGGGUAGUUGCUACCCCCACUGAUGCCCCUCCGACUUGCAUGUGUUAAGCCUGUCGCUAGCGUUCAUC